CAGCUUGAAAACGAAAACAGAAAAGUCAUCAAAGCUCAGUCCGGGGCUGAGGAUGAGGCCUGCGUCCUUUGAAGACAGCAGCAUGGAAAUGUGCCCAGGUGAAUUGGCAGUCCCACUGAGAAGUGAAAAUAGAUGUCCAUUCACACUGAGACGGCUUUUCGGGUCCCGGCCAAUUCUGCCAGGCUGCCAACAGGGUGGCGUGACUGAGAGGGAAAUGAAUUGUGGGUACAGAGGGUUCCUCUUGACGUUCAAGACAACACCACUGUUAAGGAAGAACCCUUUCCCCCUUUUGGACCCCACUGACUUUCAUUCUACAGUAUGUAUAAAAACACAAAACAUCCCUAGAGAAAAAUAACACACACACACACACACACACACACACACACACAUCGUUUCGAACAAUGUCAGUAAAUGUUAAUAGAUUUUACCUUUAUUUAGUAUGAAAUAAAUGUAUUUUAAAUAUGUGACUUUUUUGAUAC
This is a long non-coding RNA of Cyprinus carpio (common carp), 479 nucleotides long. NCBI's taxonomy places the organism in Eukaryota, Metazoa, Chordata, Actinopteri, Cypriniformes, Cyprinidae. The record is from Ensembl.